AAAGAAUCAGCCCCCUCCGACUUAUCAUUCAAGGCAUUCGACGAUCACUCUCCCUUUGCAUGUUGAAGACCGCUUCCAAGCCUGGAGCUGAUUCCAAGCAGAAAUCUGUUCAAACUGUCACAAAAACUGAGCAAUAAACAAGAUUAGUUGAUAUAGGAUUAGGGAUAUCUCGAAAAAGUUGGUGUAUUUGAUUUUGGUUCUGGUUCUGGAUGAACAGAAUCGUGUGUAGCACGCGAUCUUGGUGGUGAUUUCUCCGGGCUUCGAUGUCAGCGACGGGAAAAUCCAUACAGGUUGAAUGGUUGGUUGACUGGGUUGAGAUCAAUUGCUUGUCGGCAAGGUUUCGUGGCCAUAGGAGGUUAAUAUCCAGAUACUUGAUGUGAGGUGAAAGAUCGGAUCGGAGUUGGAUGACAGGUGGUGGUUGGAUCGAGGAUUGGUGGCCAUCGUCAGUUUCGGUGGUUCUGCGUUCCUUGCAGAACUCAUGGGCCUGGACUUGGUGGUACGAAGGGCCUGGGCGUUUGCCAUGGGCUUGGGGUUUUUUUGGUUUUUUUUUAUUUUGUAUGUAUUUUAUUUUUAAUGAAUUGUUUUGUGAUGAUUUAUUUUAAUAAACUACACUUUGUUAUCUCAAA
Long non-coding RNA from Rosa chinensis, 626 nucleotides. RefSeq lists it as uncharacterized. The record is from RefSeq and is a predicted model, not a curated record. The transcript is spliced from 2 exons. Lineage: Eukaryota; Viridiplantae; Streptophyta; Magnoliopsida; Rosales; Rosaceae.